UCACUCCUCUUUUUCUAUUUG
This 21-nucleotide non-coding RNA is filed under the name Caenorhabditis elegans. The record is from RNAcentral. Lineage: Eukaryota; Metazoa; Nematoda; Chromadorea; Rhabditida; Rhabditidae.